This 238-nucleotide long non-coding RNA is filed under the name Callithrix jacchus (white-tufted-ear marmoset). RNAcentral describes it as "lncRNA (ENSCJAG00000082841.1)". Lineage: Eukaryota; Metazoa; Chordata; Mammalia; Primates; Cebidae. The record is from RNAcentral.
UAUCUGCACUAAGUGCCAUGUCCUAGUCUUAUUAAUGUCAUUGAAACUAACAGAGGAGUUUUUUGUUUGUUUGUUUGUUUUGUUUUUGAGACAGAGUCUCACUCUGUCACCAGGCUCCAGGCUGGAGUGCAAUGGCACAAUCUUGGCUCACUACAACCUCUGCCUCCCAGGUUCAAGUAAUUCUUCUGCCUCAGCCUCCCGAGUAGUUGUGACUGCAGGCUUGCUCCUGCAGUGGUAG